GGCGCAGACUCAGUCGUAGCAAGGUAGCCGUAGAGUUUGAUACUGGCUCUAUGUCUGGGAAACUGCCUGAUGGAGGGGGAUAACUACUGGAAACGGUAGCUAAUACCGCAUAACGUCGCAAGACCAAAGUGGGGGACCUUCGGGCCUCAUGCCAUCAGAUGUGCCCAGAUGGGAUUAGCUAGUAGGUGGGGUAACGGCUCACCUAGGCGACGAUCCCUAGCUGGUCUGAGAGGAUGACCAGCCACACUGGAACUGAGACACGGUCCAGACUCCUACGGGAGGCAGCAGUGGGGAAUAUUGCACAAUGGGCGCAAGCCUGAUGCAGCCAUGCCGCGUGUGUGAAGAAGGCCUUCGGGUUGUAAAGCACUUUCAGCGGGGAGGAAGGCGAUGAGGUUAAUAACCUCGUCGAUUGACGUUACCCGCAGAAGAAGCACCGGCUAACUCCGUGCCAGCAGCCGCGGUAAUACGGAGGGUGCAAGCGUUAAUCGGAAUUACUGGGCGUAAAGCGCACGCAGGCGGUCUGUCAAGUCGGAUGUGAAAUCCCCGGGCUCAACCUGGGAACUGCAUUCGAAACUGGCAGGCUAGAGUCUUGUAGAGGGGGGUAGAAUUCCAGGUGUAGCGGUGAAAUGCGUAGAGAUCUGGAGGAAUACCGGUGGCGAAGGCGGCCCCCUGGACAAAGACUGACGCUCAGGUGCGAAAGCGUGGGGAGCAAACAGGAUUAGAUACCCUGGUAGUCCACGCCGUAAACGAUGUCGAUUUGGAGGUUGUGCCCUUGAGGCGUGGCUUCCGGAGCUAACGCGUUAAAUCGACCGCCUGGGGAGUACGGCCGCAAGGUUAAAACUCAAAUGAAUUGACGGGGGCCCGCACAAGCGGUGGAGCAUGUGGUUUAAUUCGAUGCAACGCGAAGAACCUUACCUGGUCUUGACAUCCACAGAACUUUCCAGAGAUGGAUUGGUGCCUUCGGGAACUGUGAAACAGGUGCUGCAUGGCUGUCGUCAGCUCGUGUUGUGAAAUGUUGGGUUAAGUCCCGCAACGAGCGCAACCCUUAUCCUUUGUUGCCAGCGGUCCGGCCGGGAACUCAAAGGAAACUGCCAGUGAUAAACU
This 1104-nucleotide ribosomal RNA is filed under the name Klebsiella pneumoniae. RNAcentral describes it as "bacterial SSU rRNA". It matches the Rfam family "Bacterial small subunit ribosomal RNA", at positions 65 to 1164 of the family's 1533-position model. Lineage: Bacteria; Pseudomonadati; Pseudomonadota; Gammaproteobacteria; Enterobacterales; Enterobacteriaceae. The record is from RNAcentral.